This 252-nucleotide ribosomal RNA is filed under the name Acidaminococcus fermentans DSM 20731. RNAcentral describes it as "partial 16S ribosomal RNA". It matches the Rfam family "Bacterial small subunit ribosomal RNA", at positions 524 to 776 of the family's 1533-position model. Lineage: Bacteria; Bacillati; Bacillota; Negativicutes; Acidaminococcales; Acidaminococcaceae. The record is from RNAcentral.
UACGUAGGUGGCAAGCGUUGUCCGGAAUUAUUGGGCGUAAAGAGCAUGUAGGCGGGCUUUUAAGUCCGACGUGAAAAUGCGGGGCUUAACCCCGUAUGGCGUUGGAAACUGGGAGCCUUGAGUGCAGGAGAGGAAAGGGGAAUUCCCAGUGUAGCGGUGAAAUGCGUAGAUAUUGGGAGGAACACCAGUGGCGAAGGCGCCUUUCUGGACUGUGUCUGACGCUGAGAUGCGAAAGCCAGGGUAGCAAACGGG